GAACAUAAAAACAUCACUCAUCUACUCAGAGAACCCCACCUAAGCACUGUCCCCAGAGGCUCAAAGUUUCAAGAUAAAGUGAAACAGGGGCAGAGCUUUCGAAGCCAAACCCAGCCUUUGCACAUGGGAGGAAGUCAAAAAGCUGACACCCUCUAGACACAAACACUGCUUCUGCUCCGCCCUUUAAUGUAGAAAUUAGCAACUGGCUCUCUCCGUGGUGGUGCCUCCUCCCUGCCUCAGUGGGAACCAGCAAACUCUUGCUGGGGGAGCACUGGAGAGAGAGUCUGCUAAGCUUUAAGAGAGGCAGCAAGGUAAAAACAGCUCCCUUUGGACGUUCCCCAUGUGGAAAAAGGCCAAGACUGGAACCGCCGUCAGGACAAGGCGUAUCCAAGGCUGCUGCCCUGGUCUGUGUGGCUAAGUUGGGUGUAGGAAUGCCUGCCUUCCAGCUGUCAGAGAGAGGGAAGAAGCACGGAGGAUUUUAAGGACAAGACCCUCACGUGGUAUCGGAGAGCUGUGAGAACCAUUUGGUCCAGAUGACUGGGAAUUCCGGAAAGAGGAGAGGUCUUCUGGAGGAAGCUGAUCAUCAUUUGCUGUUUGCUUCCAUAGUGUAUGUGCUGAUUCUAGGCACUGAGGGACCAUCAGGCUUAGCCUACACAGUGAGACUCUGCUGGAGGAGGGAGAACCCAAAGAGCUUCUAUGCCUGCUCAGAUGGACAUUUGAAGAGCUACAAUGUGGCUGGUUUCACCAAGAGCUACCUGUUGAGUUCUGGGCUUGCGGAAAGGAAGCUGCGAGGCUUUCUUUCAUCUUCCCUGUAGGAGGUUUUGUGUGAGAAGGAGCACUGCCUUGCCUUUGCACUUUAAGGCUUAAGCAUUUGAGAAUUUCUCUUAUAUUCUCAAGUAUAAUAAUAUUACAUCAGAUUUUAAAACAAGACUUUAACAUUUUUGUUAAUGUUCUAAGAAUGUUCCAUGCUCAUGGCUGUAUAAGCAUCACUGAACUCAGCAUUCUGCUCCUGUCCCCUUCACUGUUAGAUUAACUCUCAUCUGUAAACUCUGCCAUAAUUACAACAAUGGCAGAUUGACAGACACCCUCUGUGAGUAUAAAAGGAAAAUUAAAGCACAAAGAAAACAUGUGGUAAAGAGGAAAGGGUUUGGCUGAGAAAUGGGUGCUAAAUUCUCCAAAUUAAAGCUCAUUGAACAUAAAAGUUAGAAUUAUAUGCUGAGUUGGAAAGGGUCUCCAGAGGUCGUCUGGUCCAGGCUCUGACCUGUAGGCAGCAGCGCACAUUAAAAUCACUCAAGACUAAGAGUUAACCGUAUUCUGUGUAGCACUUAUUUUUUCUCUUGAAAAAUUGAACAAACAGUAGGGAAAAGAAAAGCCCAAUUAAUUCUUAAUUCAAAGCUUUUUCUAAUUUGUGGUUCUGAAAUAUUUUGGAGAAGAUCUUAAAAUUCCAAAUCCCUGCCAGACUGAAAGCAGAUAUUCCAAAAUAAAUAUUUCACUGCUUGCUCUGCCAGUGUGAUAUGAGGCAAUAAUUCCUUUAUUACCACAAAAGCCUAGUGAAGUCUUUGGAAACAGGAUCAAACUAGCAAUUCUGCUUUUCUGAGACUGUUGGGGGACAGUCUGUUCUUUAAUUUUCCCAGGGGUUAUGAAGCGCACAAUCCAACCAAAAUGCUAAAAAAAAAUGUUAAUUAUACUUGUUAAAAUAACUCACAUACUUCAUAAAAGUGUAUUGCUUUUUUCUUAAAUCGUAUUGAUUUACAUAUAAUUAAAAUUAUGAGAGCCUUUAAAUUUUGUGCACUAUUUGCUCCAGCAACUCAAUUUCCGCUUCUAAAAGUUUAUCCUGAGGAAAUAAUCAUAGAUGUGCGCGAACCCUUAUGAACAAAUGUUCAUCACGUUAUUUCUAGUAGCCAAAAUUGGAAACCACUAAUAUCUAACAAUAGAAAAGUGGUUAUUAGUACAUCUGUACAACAAAAUGUCACAUAGCCAUCAAAGUUACGUCAUAGAGUAUCCAAUGUCAUGGGAAAAAUGUCUGCAACAUGUAUCACUGUGAAAAAUAUCCAAGCGUAUAUAGUAUAACCCCAUUUUUCAUUUCUGUGGCAUCGGUUGUGAUUUCUCUUUUUUCAUUUCAUAUUUUAUUUGGGUCUUCUCUGUUUUCUUCUCGGUG
This is a non-coding RNA of Vicugna pacos (alpaca), 2158 nucleotides long. The record is from RefSeq and is a predicted model, not a curated record. Lineage: Eukaryota; Metazoa; Chordata; Mammalia; Artiodactyla; Camelidae.